Molecule: ribosomal RNA, 528 nt
Filed under: Triticum aestivum (bread wheat)
Lineage: Eukaryota; Viridiplantae; Streptophyta; Magnoliopsida; Poales; Poaceae
Description: partial small subunit ribosomal RNA
Source: RNAcentral
UAUAGCCAGGGGCUAUGGAAGGCCGGGUUGCCACUCAAGAUAAAAAUCUUCAUGUGGCAAAUGUUUAGGAACCGGCUACCAACUUCCGACAGUAUAGCUAAACAUAAUGGCCCGUCCGACGGGUCCUGCUCGAUUUGCGGUCUAGGUGAAGACGCAAACCAUGUGUUCUUUAGAUGCCACCUAGCCAAGUUUGCAUGGAGCGUGGUUAGGGAUGCGUUUCACACGAACUGGAACCCCUCCUCGGGUGCGGAUCUGCUCACCUUGAUCAAAACCCAAAAGGGGUCCAGUGCUAGAAUAGCUUGGCGAUGCAUAGGGCCGUUGCUAUGGGCUAUUUGGACGACUCAUAACAAAAUUACGAUAGAGAAGAAAUUCCCUAACCAUCCUGUUGAUGUGAUAUUCAAAUGUCAUCUAUUUUUACAGACGUGGACACCGUUGGGGAAGGAGCGCAACACUAAGCGCAUGAUGGAAGUCUUGGAGCGUAUCAGGAUGACUCAGACGUUGGCCAGGCAAGACUCGAGGCACGAGUAA